Molecule: unclassified non-coding RNA, 284 nt
Filed under: Hevea brasiliensis (rubber tree)
Lineage: Eukaryota; Viridiplantae; Streptophyta; Magnoliopsida; Malpighiales; Euphorbiaceae
Source: RNAcentral
UUUCUUUAUCUGGUCCUUUUCAACCUUUCUCUUAAGAAACUUGAGUGGGCGUGGUGGGCUACUUUCUCAAGAAAAUCCCAGAUAAGCAGCCGAAGUUCUUUGUCUGACCUUUGGUUUUUUGUUUCUUUAUUUAUUUAUUUCUCCCUUUUUUUUUCAAGUAUAGAUUGUAGUGGUGGAGAAGAGAUCUGAGAGUGGUUAGUGUCUUUUCAAGCAAACCAACCACAUCUCCUGGGAAUGGGAUAGAUCAUACAUUGAUGGGCCAAAACUUUUUUUUUUUUUUUUUU